Molecule: long non-coding RNA, 386 nt
Filed under: Ictidomys tridecemlineatus (thirteen-lined ground squirrel)
Lineage: Eukaryota; Metazoa; Chordata; Mammalia; Rodentia; Sciuridae
Description: lncRNA (ENSSTOG00000030874.1)
Source: RNAcentral
AAAAACAUUUUUUGGAGGUGGGGGAAAGACAAAAAGGAAAAAAAAAGAUUGCAGUGCAAAGAGAUAGCUUCCAUUAGAGCUCCUGCCCGGGCGAUGGGAGUGUUUAAUGAAUGCAUCAAGUCUUUUGAUCACCCUCGCUCGGCUGGGUUCAGGAGUGCCGGAAGAUUCUCCACCCAGGGGCCAUGGCUUCUUUGGUUGCAGUCCUGUGAAGUCCCUCCUUGGAUUGGGAAAGCUGUAUGAUUUUCCAAGACUGGAUUGUAAAAGUCUUGCUGCUUCUACCUGGAUUCUUGAAUGCUGUCUUUUGUGACACUCUCUCAGGACCCAGCUGUAAUCUUCAAGAAUGGGGACUGGUGUGCAGGUAAGAUCACACACAGGUAGAUAGGCUG